UACGGAAGGUCCGGGCGUUAUCCGGAUUUAUUGGGUUUAAAGGGAGCGUAGGCCGGAGAUUAAGCGUGUUGUGAAAUGUAGGUGCUCAACAUCUGCACUGCAGCGCGAACUGGUUUCCUUGAGUACGCACAAAGUGGGCGGAAUUCGUGGUGUAGCGGUGAAAUGCUUAGAUAUCACGAAGAACUCCGAUUGCGAAGGCAGCUCACUGGAGCGCAACUGACGCUGAAGCUCGAAAGUGCGGGUAUCGAACAGG
Molecule: ribosomal RNA, 253 nt
Filed under: Segatella copri DSM 18205
Lineage: Bacteria; Pseudomonadati; Bacteroidota; Bacteroidia; Bacteroidales; Prevotellaceae
Also listed under: 1 other name
Description: Prevotella copri DSM 18205 partial 16S ribosomal RNA
Rfam family: Bacterial small subunit ribosomal RNA
Source: RNAcentral